RNAcentral lists this small RNA (148 nucleotides) under Oceanihabitans sediminis. RNAcentral's name for it is "Flavo-1 RNA". It matches the Rfam family "Flavo-1 RNA". The record is from Rfam by way of RNAcentral. Lineage: Bacteria; Pseudomonadati; Bacteroidota; Flavobacteriia; Flavobacteriales; Flavobacteriaceae.
GUUUAUCUGCGUUAAGGAUAGAAGCGGCAUCCUUUUGGCUAGGUUUAAAUGAAAAAUGUUUCUCCUUAUUAUAUGUAUACUAUAAUAUAGUAUGAAUAUGAUUAUUAAAAAAAGUAGCCAAAAGAUAUAGCGGAUAGCCUGACUUUAC